GUCAUUCCCUCAUCCUCUUAGGCCACCCCUUCAUCUUGCCAAUGCCAGAGUUUUACUCAGAGGCCAAUGGCAUCUGAAGGCCUUGAGACCAUCACUAAUAGAAGUUAGUUUCACGAGUGCCUGAGAUCCUCCAAGCAAUGGAGUGUGUCUGGUUUUGAUGGGAAAGAAAGAAUCCAAAGAUGUGAUAACAGCCACAAAAUUGGAAUAUCUCAAAACAAACAGGAUAACAAGAAGGAAAAAUAAAGCAAUACUAUAUCCAUGAAUUUAGUAUAAACAGAAGGAUUUCAAUGUCCCAAUUGCAAAUUUACCAACAAGUACAUAGAGAAAUACA
Long non-coding RNA from Mastomys coucha (southern multimammate mouse), 331 nucleotides. RefSeq lists it as uncharacterized. The transcript has 2 exons. Lineage: Eukaryota; Metazoa; Chordata; Mammalia; Rodentia; Muridae. The record is from RefSeq and is a predicted model, not a curated record.